Long non-coding RNA from Scatophagus argus, 760 nucleotides. RefSeq lists it as uncharacterized. The transcript has 2 exons. NCBI's taxonomy places the organism in Eukaryota, Metazoa, Chordata, Actinopteri, Scatophagidae. The record is from RefSeq and is a predicted model, not a curated record.
UGUAAAGUAUACUAAUACCAACAAAAAUAUUGGGAAGUGGCUGGUUUUCAGGGGUUGGCCCUUACUGCCAAUGAAGGGAAAUCUUAAUGCUUCAGCAUACCAAGACAUUUUGGAUAAUGCUAUGGUUCCAACUGUUUGGGGAAGGCCCUUUUCUGUUUCAGCAUGACUGCCCAACUGCACAAAGCAAGAGCCUGGCCCUCAACCCCACUGAAGACCUUUGGGAUGAGCUGCAAUGGAGACUGCAAGCAAGGCCUUUUCAUCCAAUAUCCAUUCUUGACUUAUUGCUCUACUGCAUGAAUGGGCAAAAAAUCUUGUGGAAAGCCUGUCUAGAAGAGUGGAAGCUGUUGUAGCUGCAAAGCUGUCUAUGUAUUUAGAAUUCAAUGCCAUUAAGGUCCUUGUUGGUAUAAUAGUCAGGAGGCCCAAUUGUUCUGUCUAUAUAGUGUAGUUUUCAGAGAAGCCUUUCAAGACAACACAGUAAGAAAUGAAAUGAAACAAAGAGAGACCUGAUCCAAAACUGAACCAAGGAUACAACCACUUGUCCUUUAUCUUGCAUAAUUCAACAAGAUAUACACAGAUCUGAGAAAUGCAGCAAUAAAACAGGAGAUGAUCAGAACUAAAUAGACUUAAUUAUUCUGACUAGGUUUGCCUAUGUGUGGGAACAGAUUUUGGACAAUAAAUAGACUGGAAAAGUACACUAAAGCAGAUGUCUGACUGCUAUUUAAAGAAGAGCUUUUCAGUGGAGUAUUCCUUUCAGCAUUUA